CUGGCGGCGUGCCUAACACAUGCAAGUCGAACGGAAUAUCCUCGGAUAUUAGUGGCGAACGGGUGAGUAAUGUACAGGUAAUGUACCUUCGUACUGCGAAUAACAAGCUGAAAAGUUUGCUAAUACGGAAUAGUUUCAUUAGGGGGCAUCCUUUGAUGAAUAAAGAUUUAUCGUGCGAAGAUCAGCCUGUAUCCUAUUAGUUAGUUGGUGGGGUAAUGGCCUACCAAAACGACGAUGGGUAACUGGUCUGAGAGGAUGAGCAGUCACAUUGGAACUGAGAUACGGUCCAAACUCCUACGGGAGGCAGCAGUGAGGAAUUUUGCGCAAUGGGGGCAACCCUGACGCAGCAAACCGCCGCGUGAGUGAUGACGGCCUUCGGGUUGUAAAGCUCUGUCGUGUAUGACGAGUAGGGACGGUAAUACACAAGGAAGCCUCGGCUAACUACGUGCCAGCAGCUGC
Molecule: ribosomal RNA, 459 nt
Filed under: uncultured bacterium
Lineage: Bacteria
Description: bacterial SSU rRNA
Rfam family: Bacterial small subunit ribosomal RNA
Source: RNAcentral